CUCAUGGUCAACGAACUUCCUUUCAAAAUGAGAAAAAAAAGUGAAAACAUGUUGUUUUGUGGACUGUGGUAUAGUGAUACACAACCAUUGAUGUCAACCAAUAUGUGUGAUUUUUUUCCAAAUUCCUGUCCACUACAAAAUGUAUGUCUUUCAAGAUUCCUAAUUCAAAAACCGGUUUUUCGACUUCUUAAAGCGAAGGUAUUAGAGGGG
Molecule: long non-coding RNA, 210 nt
Filed under: Mytilus galloprovincialis (Mediterranean mussel)
Lineage: Eukaryota; Metazoa; Mollusca; Bivalvia; Mytilida; Mytilidae
Source: RNAcentral